AAUGGGAUAGCUGGGUCAAAUGGUGGUUCCAUUCCAAGUUUUCUAAGGAAUCUCCAUACUGCUUUCUAGGUUGGUUGUUCCAAUUUGCAGUCCUACCAGCAAU
This 103-nucleotide microRNA precursor is filed under the name Marmota monax (woodchuck). Lineage: Eukaryota; Metazoa; Chordata; Mammalia; Rodentia; Sciuridae. The record is from RNAcentral.